UUUAAAGUUUCUUUCCAAUCUAGAAAACACUCGUCUACUAUUCACCAGUGACCAUUGCGAUCAAAAACCCAAAAUCCAAUCGAUGUCUGCUACCUCUAUGGUGCUUCUGCUCACCACAGUUCACCAGUGACCAAAAAGCCGAGUGAAUCCGAGAUUUCGAUCUUGUGUUGCUGCAGCCGAUGCAAACUCUUCUCCUUUUGCUUUUCUUCCUUAAAGCUUCUCUUCAAAAUUUCUCUAGAAACCCGAAAAUCAACCUCCUUUUUUAGCUAAGAAUCUUAACAACCUAACCCAAAAAUCAAUGUCGAUUUGCUACCCGUCUCCCUUUACUGUUCCAGACAACCAAGGAUUUUACUAGCCUUGUUCGACUUUCCCCUAAAAUAAAUCCUAAGAAACUGAACCCUCAAAGAGCAAUUCCCUCACCAAAAAGUUUUCUUUUCCCUUUUGCUAAUUGUGUUUGACUGCUGCUAUUUUCUGAAUGUGUUGUGAAUUGUGGUUGUGUUAUGGACUGUGGUUAUUUUUUGUUGGAUUUGGAUAUGUUUCUAGGUGGAUUCGGAUUGACUGUUCUUUUGUUUUGGUCAAUUUUUUUAUUUCUGAUUGGUUUCUAUCUGGGUUUAUUGAGUUUAAGACCCCUGUUUGGUGAUUUUUCUUCUAUGAGGCCAAUUGUUGAUUUAGCUGGUUUCUGUGUUGCCUUUGUCUUUGUGUUGAAUUCUGCUCUGCUUAGAAUGGCUUUGCUACUUUUUACCGCUAAUUAUUGCUUGACAAUGUAUGAUCUAUGAAUAUUAAUCGCUUUUCUGAUUGCUGAAAUUGCUUCCUUGAUUGCUUCUGGCUUCUUGUUAGGAUUGCUUGAUGCUUCCUUUGGUUUGCACGAUUGAAAUUGCUGUUGAAUGUGUGUUUUUUCUGUCGAUUGUCCCUUGCUUGAACUUGAUUUUUUGGCCUAGAAUUCCUUGGCUUUGCUGAUUGUAUGUAGAUUCUGAAUUACUUUUUGUGUUUUAUGCUGGGGCUUCCCCUUGAUUCUUCUGUGUGCUUCUUGCCACUUCUUGCUAUGCUUGAUUCCUUGUUGUCUCUGUUAAUUUGCUCAAUGCUUCUUCUACUUCUAAAUUGCUUAAUGCUUCUUGAUUUUCUUGAUGUCUUGAUCUUGCUUUGUGAUCCUAAAUUGCUUAAUGCUUUUUGAUUUUCUUGAUGUCUCAAUCCUGCUUUGUGAUCACAGAUCAAGAGCCCUUUAUAGGAAUAAAACCUUAAUUCAAUUCAAAAAAUUUUAAUUCCACCAGCUCUAAGAAAACUCUCCAAGAUUCAAUUUUCUGUAAUUUUUCUUUUUUCCAAUGAAUUAAUGUUCAAGAAUUUUCAUAGGCAUUUAAUCAAUAAAUUUCAGAAUCCAAAAUUAAAUCCAAGACCGAAUCUCAAAGUGGAUCCAAGAUUUCUUACCAAUUUCCAAAUCCCACCUUUUUUUUUUGUGUUUUUUAUCUUUUUUUUUUUACUUUGAUUCAAAAAAAUUAAUUUAAAAUCAAAAUUAAAAUAAAAAAAUGAAAAAUUUGGACUUUUAAUCCUUGGAGUCAAAAUUUACUUUUUUAUUAAGAUUUAAUUACAUAAUUAAAUUGAAAUUCGAAACCCAACGAAUUUAAAAAAAUUCUAUGAACAAAAUGGGGUGUUUAGAAAAAACAUUGAAACUUUAAAAUUUUGAAAAUGUUUCUUUAACAAGAGUCAAAGAGACUUUAAAAAAUAAAAAUAUCUAUUCAUCUAGCGAUUAUGAAAUUUUAAAAUUCACAACCAAAAAGUUUCUCUCUUUUAACUAGAGAUUAAGAAACUUUAAAAUUCACAACCAAAAAACUCUUUUAACUAGAGAUUUUGAAAUUUUAAAGAAUCAAAUCUAAAAAGUUACAUGAAGGUUUUGGGAUUAUAUUUUGAUGUUUUAUAAAUCAUAUACGGAAGUCUUAAAAAUCGAAUUUUAUCUUGAAAAAAUUUUUUUUCAACGAAAGUUUUAAAACUUUAAAAUUAAUAUAUUUUUGUUCAUAUGCUAACAUAGUUUUGAUUAAAUUUUCAAUUGGUGCCACGAGCUUGAGAUUCAAUUAGUGCUAGCUAAUUUGGGUUUAAGUCUCAUUAUUUGUUAGUUAAUUUGAACUUAAAUCUCAUAUUGUGUCAAUUAAUCUAGGCUUAAGUCAAAUUUUUUGUUUCUUUCUUCACCUUAUAGUUUACAAAAAUACAAAUGUCAUGAUAUGAAUGCCAAUGUAUCAUAGCAAGAUACAGAUGAAUAUACUUAUCUCACCAAUAUAAAUGCAAGGUGGUAGUAUAGCCCUGGUGAGAUUAGAAUCAAAUUUAGAUUUUAAAUGUUUUAUUUGUGUCAAAACUUAAUGUCAUAACGUUCAGAUCUGAGAAUUGAAUCAUUAUAUACAAAAAAUAUGAAAUCGCUACCGAUAUUUUUUAUUUAGAUGUGAUUGGUCAUUUAUAUGAAUAUAUUAUUUUAAAGAUUAUUUUAAGUUUGAUUGAUGGUCCUUAAAAAUAAUAAAUUUUGGUUUACAUCAACAAAUUUAAGUUCAAAAGUCGGUUACAUGUAGGAAAGAUUUUAGUACUUCACAAUACCUAAAAUUGGUACUAAAUUAGUUUUAUGUUAUCUUAUUUAAGUCUUAAUUUAAACGAUUUUUAUUCAUACAUUUUGUUAAUUUUAAUAUUUU
This 2666-nucleotide long non-coding RNA is filed under the name Durio zibethinus. Its description in RNAcentral is "long non-coding RNA (DZIB_LNC002325)". Lineage: Eukaryota; Viridiplantae; Streptophyta; Magnoliopsida; Malvales; Malvaceae. The record is from RNAcentral.